This 96-nucleotide transfer RNA is filed under the name Chloroflexota bacterium. RNAcentral describes it as "Chloroflexi bacterium tRNA-Ser". It matches the Rfam family "tRNA". From Rfam's summary of the family: Transfer RNA (tRNA) molecules are approximately 80 nucleotides in length. Their secondary structure includes four short double-helical elements and three loops (D, anti-codon, and T loops). Lineage: Bacteria; Bacillati; Chloroflexota. The record is from RNAcentral.
GGAGGGGUCGCAUAGCCAGGUCUAGUGCGGCCGCCUGCUAAGCGGCUCUAGGGGGUUAUUCCUCUAGCGCGGGUUCAAAUCCCGCCCCCUCCGCCU